GCAGUGAGCUGAGAUCGCACCAUGCACUCCAGUCGGGGUGACAGAGUGAGACCCUGUCACAAAACAAACAACAAAAGUGGCUAGCCUGAAUUGAGAUGUCCCUCCUGUAUAAAAUAUACACUGAAUUUUGAAGAGAAUGCAACAAAAAUGGAAAAUAGCUUAUUACUGUUUUUGUAUUGACUAAGUGUUGAAAUGACAAAAGUUUUGGCUAUACUGGGUUAAACAGAUUAUGACAUUAAUUUUCUCUGUUUCUUUUUAUGUUUUUCAUGUGACCACUAAAAAGGGUAAAAUUUUGUAUGUGGCUCCUGUUACAUUUCCACUGGACAUCACUGGUCUAGAUAGAAAGGUGAAGAAAGUGAGUUUGUUGAAUGCCUCCUGUGAGCAUCAUUUCAAAUGCAAGGAUGAACGUGCAGUGCGCCCAGCAUCCAGAGGUGCUCAGACAGCAAGAGACGACAGACAUGUAAAGAGAACCACACUACUGUACAAUACUGGGGGAUGGCUGCACUACAGCAGGCAGGAGCUCUGCCAUCACUCACAGGCGCUGUGCACGGAGGCACGGGGAGGAUCUAUUGAAGCACUGGAGAAGGAGUCGGUGUUUGCCAGGGGUAUUUCAGGCCCGGGAAAGCGUGGAGGCACAAAGCAGGCAGGGCCUGCUGGGAACGACAGAACAGGUGCGCUGGAAGCCGUGUUGAGGCUACACUGGACAGGGUAUGGCCGGAAGCAAAGGGGCCCUGCUAAAUGCAGCUGCAAUGGCAGCAGAUGACUGGAGACACAUUUAGGAGGAGUUUGGCCUUGUUAAGUUUGAGAGUCAAGUAAGCAGCUGAAAAUACCACCAGAGCUUAGAAGCAAGUCUUGCACACACUGCCUCUAAAAUACAUCUGAAAUCUGACCAUCCAAACUACCAUCUCUCACCUGGGAUAUGGCUGUGGUUCCCUUACAGCUCCAUUCCCCAUACAGCAGCUAUGGGGAAUGUUUAAAACAUGAAUUGGCAUAUUGCUGCCCUUCAUGCUUCGAAACAAGGAUCCCAAGUCCAAACCUCCACUUACAGGAUCUACAUGAUCCAGCUCUUCGAACCUUCUCUCCCUCUGCUACAGACACGCUGGGCUUCUUUAUUCCUCAAACAUCCUAUACUUAGUUACUUAUCAAAGCGAAGCAGCACUGAAACCGGCCUGCAUGACCACAGCUGGGGCUUCAGCAUGGAUUCUGACUGGAGAGAAGGGCAGUGCCUGAAAGCAAGGGGUGUUGACGCCCAAGACUGUGGGUGCUCACUGGGGGCAGAUAAGCGCUGACAUCAUUAUGAGUGACCACCCGGCAAUUCAUGUUACUCAUAGAUAUGAUCUACUGGGAAGAAAGAUUUGUAAGAAAUCCUGCGAUAGGGACUUUGAGGGACUUCAAAUGCCUCCUGUUUCUUCUACUUUUUUUUUUUUUUUUGAGACAGGAUCUUGCUCUGUUGCCCAGGCUGGAGUGCAUUUCUUUUUUUCCAGGAAAUUACCUUCUCUAGGAUUGGGCAGAUAGCUCCACUUCCUCUUGGGGAAGGUCUUGAUUAUGUCGUAACAUAAACAUAACUAAAAUAAUGUUUCUCUUACCCAAGGCUGAAGGUAAUGGCAGUCCAAAGAUAUAAACAUGUGACCUUAGCCCAAAGAGAGUCUCUUAAAAUCAAAAUGAGAGUUCAUGCCAGCCAUUUUGGAAACAUUACAUAAUGUGAGUUACAUUUAUGUUUUUUAGAGACAUUUCAGUUUAAUUUUUCUGAGAGAAGAAAGAUAAUAAGAAGGUACAUUAAUGUUCCCUGACCCUAAUUCAUGAAAUAUGCACUGGCCUUCAAAGUCCCUGAUUUAGUUUCUCUUUAAAAAAUUACUUGUUCAUUGUCUCUUUCCCAUAAAAGGCAAGAAGAGGACAAGGGUGGGCACUAUCUCCACUACUAUUUAAUAUUGUACAUGUAAUUAUAGGCAAUUCAAUAAAAUAAGAAAAAUAAA
Non-coding RNA from Macaca mulatta (Rhesus monkey), 1973 nucleotides. Lineage: Eukaryota; Metazoa; Chordata; Mammalia; Primates; Cercopithecidae. The record is from RefSeq and is a predicted model, not a curated record.